GCUGGUGUACUCAAGCGGCCAACGAGGACGGUCUGUAAAACCGUUGACGUAAGUCUACGUAGGUUCGAAUCCUACCGCCAGCA
This 83-nucleotide transfer RNA is filed under the name bacterium. RNAcentral's name for it is "tRNA-Tyr". It matches the Rfam family "tRNA". From Rfam's summary of the family: Transfer RNA (tRNA) molecules are approximately 80 nucleotides in length. Their secondary structure includes four short double-helical elements and three loops (D, anti-codon, and T loops). The record is from RNAcentral.